This 554-nucleotide ribosomal RNA is filed under the name uncultured bacterium. Its description in RNAcentral is "partial 16S ribosomal RNA". It matches the Rfam family "Bacterial small subunit ribosomal RNA", at positions 355 to 900 of the family's 1533-position model. The record is from RNAcentral.
UAGGGAAUCUUCCACAAUGGACGCAAGUCUGAUGGAGCAACGCCGCGUGAGUGAAGAAGGCUUUCGGGUCGUAAAACUCUGUUGUUGGAGAAGAAUGGUCGGCAGAGUAACUGUUGUCGGCGUGACGGUAUCCAACCAGAAAGCCACGGCUAACUACGUGCCAGCAGCCGCGGUAAUACGUAGGUGGCAAGCGUUAUCCGGAUUUAUUGGGCGUAAAGCGAGCGCAGACGGUUUUUUAAGUCUGAUGUGAAAGCCCUCGGCUUAACCGAGGAAGUGCAUCGGAAACUGGGAAACUUGAGUGCAGAAGAGGACAGUGGAACUCCAUGUGUAGCGGUGAAAUGCGUAGAUAUAUGGAAGAACACCAGUGGCGAAGGCGGCUGUCUGGUCUGUAACUGACGCUGAGGCUCGAAAGCAUGGGUAGCGAACAGGAUUAGAUACCCUGGUAGUCCAUGCCGUAAACGAUGAAUGCUAGGUGUUGGAGGGUUUCCGCCCUUCAGUGCCGCAGCUAACGCAUUAAGCAUUCCGCCUGGGGAGUACGACCGCAAGGUUGAAAC